UACGUGCAUUUCAGCUCAUCUU
RNAcentral lists this microRNA (22 nucleotides) under Echinococcus granulosus. Its description in RNAcentral is "egr-miR-10252-5p". Lineage: Eukaryota; Metazoa; Platyhelminthes; Cestoda; Cyclophyllidea; Taeniidae. The record is from miRBase by way of RNAcentral.